This 454-nucleotide ribosomal RNA is filed under the name uncultured bacterium. RNAcentral's name for it is "bacterial SSU rRNA". It matches the Rfam family "Bacterial small subunit ribosomal RNA", at positions 29 to 528 of the family's 1533-position model. The record is from RNAcentral.
AACGAACGCUGGCGGCAGGCCUAACACAUGCAAGUCGAGCGGGACCUUCGGGUCUAGCGGCGGACGGGUUAGUAACGCGUGGGAACGUGCCCAAAGGUACGGAAUAGCCUCGGGAAACUGAGAGUAAUACCGUAUGUGCCCCUCGGGGGAAAGAUUUAUCGCCUUUGGAUCGGCCCGCGUCGGAUUAGGUAGUUGGUGGGGUAAUGGCCUACCAAGCCGACGAUCCAUAGCUGGUUUGAGAGGAUGAUCAGCAACACUGGGACUGAGACACGGCCCAGACUCCUACGGGAGGCAGCAGUGGGGAAUCUUAGACAAUGGGGGAAACCCUGAUCUAGCCAUGCCGCGUGAGCGAUGAAGGCCUUAGGGUUGUAAAGCUCUUUCAGAUGGGAAGAUAAUGACGGUACCAUCAGAAGAAGCCCCGGCUAACUCCGUGCCAGCAGCCGCGGUAAUGUAU